This 292-nucleotide ribosomal RNA is filed under the name uncultured bacterium. RNAcentral describes it as "partial 16S ribosomal RNA". It matches the Rfam family "Bacterial small subunit ribosomal RNA", at positions 505 to 796 of the family's 1533-position model. The record is from RNAcentral.
GUGUCAGCCGCCGCGGUAAUACAGAGGGUGCGAGCGUUAAUCGGAAUUACUGGGCGUAAAGCGCACGUAGUCGGCUUGCCAAGUCGGGUGUGAAAUCCCCGGGCUCAACCUGGGAACUGCAUCCGAAACUGGCUUGCUAGAGUAUGGGAGAGGGAGGCGGAAUUUCUGGUGUAGCAGUGAAAUGCGUAGAUAUCAGAAGGAACAUCAGUGGCGAAGGCGGCCUCCUGGACCAAUACUGACGAUCAGGUGCGAAAGCGUGGGGAGCAAACAGGAUUAGAAACCCCUGUAGUCC